Molecule: long non-coding RNA, 706 nt
Organism: Manis pentadactyla (Chinese pangolin)
Lineage: Eukaryota; Metazoa; Chordata; Mammalia; Pholidota; Manidae
Exons: 4
Source: RefSeq, a predicted model, not a curated record
UGCCCUCACUCCCAGAGGGCUCCUCCUGGAGGGGACAGGGAGGCCACCCCACUCAUGGGUUUCUCUCCUGGGGCAUAGGGAGAGGUCCCUCAGCCUGCCCAGGGAAGCUCAGGACACUGCCAUUGCUCACCAAGCAGAAUCCAUUCAGUUUCCUGAAGUGUGCUUCUGAUGAGCUAUCCGUGAAGACACCAACUCAACACACUCAGCACCCACCUGACGGGUAGUGAGUUCCUUGUCCUGCAGGCUCCUUUGAUCUGGGGCUGUGCCGUCUCAUCAGAAGACUUUAAGGCACGAGGUGAGCACAGAGUGCCUGCAAUACCGCGCUCUGCUGGGUGUGGCCCCUGCACGGCCAACCCUCCUGCGGUCAGGCCCACGCCUGCAGCCCGCUCAUCAUCCUGACGUCCAGAAGAGACCCCAUCAAUCACAACACCUCACUGGCUAAUGUGACUUCCCUCAGCCGCACUCCACGCAGGAGGGCGCCCCGCUGCCCUGCCCUGGGUGGGUGAAGUUGGGGACAGCGGCCUACACCCCGCAGACCCACAGCAGGGUUUCCAGGCCCCAGGGCCAGGACCCCCAGGGCUUCUGUCUGCGGUGGGGUCACCACGGCUGAGCCGCAAGGUCGCCUCCAGGAAGCUGUCGGGGCCCAGGGGCCAGGGGCCAGGGGCCACGUGCACUCUGCCUGGAAGGCUGCCAAAUCCAAAUCCCA